This is a non-coding RNA of Pelobates cultripes (western spadefoot toad), 707 nucleotides long. The record is from the annotation of a GenBank genome assembly. Lineage: Eukaryota; Metazoa; Chordata; Amphibia; Anura; Pelobatidae.
CAGGAUCCCUGGGGAUAAUUAUUUCAAACUAAUUUACAUUCCUCAGUCGGAGAUCUGGUAUCCCAUCCCAGUUUGUAUUUUCAUUAGUGUAAAUACAUUUCUUGUGUGUGCUGUUGUCUUGUAAGAAAAGGUGGGAGCUCAGAAAAAAAGUAGAUUCUACAAAGUUGCCAGCAAGAAGCGUGUUUUGUAUCUUUGCUGAGGUCUUGUUGGAAGCCAUACAAGUUUAAAGGGACACUCCAGGCACCAAGACCACUUCUGCCCAUUGGAGUGGUCUGGGUGCCAACUCCCACUACCUUUAACCCUGCAAGUGUAAUUAUUGCAGUUUUCAAAAACUGCAAUAUUUACCUUGAAGGGUUAAGUAGACAGCCACUAGAGUACACUUUCGUGUUCAUAGAACACAAAAAAUGUGCUAUGUUGGGAGGUGGAGCCGACCAAGCUAGUGCAUGGCCACGUUUUAAAUCAGCUCCGGCGGCGCCAGACACACAUCCGACCUGAUCAGGCCACAAAACGAAAGAUGGGUCACCCAAAACGAGCUGCAUCAUCCCAGCAAGCCCCCGGCAAAACCCCAUCGGGUAAAUCGAGCGCUUUCACUAAAUAUUUCCGCGUCCGGGCGGACAGUAAUGCGGGUGCACUAGGCCCCAAUAUGGCGGCAGACUCCUCACCUCUUUGUAUGUCCCCCUCCAGCCCGGCAGACUCAGAAAUUUCGG